RNAcentral lists this ribosomal RNA (253 nucleotides) under uncultured bacterium. RNAcentral describes it as "partial 16S ribosomal RNA". It matches the Rfam family "Bacterial small subunit ribosomal RNA", at positions 524 to 776 of the family's 1533-position model. The record is from RNAcentral.
UACGUAGGGUGCAAGCGUUGUCCGGAAUUAUUGGGCGUAAAGAGCUCGUAGGCGGUCUGUCGCGUCGGCUGUGAAAACCCGGAGCUCAACUCCGGGCCUGCAGUCGAUACGGGCAGACUGGAGUUCGGCAGGGGAGACUGGAAUUCCUGGUGUAGCGGUGAAAUGCGCAGAUAUCAGGAGGAACACCGGUGGCGAAGGCGGGUCUCUGGGCUGAUACUGACGCUCAUGCACGAAAGCGUGGGGAGCAAACAGG